Molecule: ribosomal RNA, 238 nt
Filed under: uncultured bacterium
Lineage: Bacteria
Description: partial 16S ribosomal RNA
Rfam family: Bacterial small subunit ribosomal RNA
Source: RNAcentral
UACGUAGGGGGCAAGCGUUGUCCGGAAUCAUUGGGCGUAAAGCGCGUGUAGGCGGCUCGGUAAGUCCGCUCUGAAAGUCCAAGGCUCAACCUUGGGAUGCGGGUGGAUACUGCCGGGCUCGAGUCCGGAAGAGGCGAGUGGAAUUCCUGGUGUAGCGGUGAAAUGCGCAGAUAUCAGGAGGAACACCAAUGGCGAAGGCAGCUCGCUGGGACGUGACUGACGCUGAGGAGCGAACGAG